This 432-nucleotide ribosomal RNA is filed under the name uncultured bacterium. Its description in RNAcentral is "partial 16S ribosomal RNA". It matches the Rfam family "Bacterial small subunit ribosomal RNA", at positions 29 to 507 of the family's 1533-position model. The record is from RNAcentral.
ACGAACGCUGGCGGCAUGCCUAACACAUGCAAGUCGAACGAGACCUUCGGGUCUAGUGGCGCACGGGUGCGUAACGCGUGGGAACCUGCCCCUAGGUUCGGAAUAACUCCCCGAAAGGGGUGCUAAUACCGGAUAAUGUCUUCGGACCAAAGAUUUAUCGCCUUUGGAUGGGCCCGCGUUGGAUUAGCUAGUUGGUAGGGUAAAAGCCUACCAAGGCGACGAUCCAUAGCUGGUCGGAGAGGAUGAUCAGCCACACAGGGACUGAGACACGGCCCAGACUCCUACGGGAGGGAGCAGUGGGGAAUAUUGGACGAGGGGCGAAAGCCUGAUCCAGCAAUGCCGCGUGAGUGAUGAAGGCCUUAGGGUUGUAAAGCUCUUUUACCCGGGAUGAUAAUGACAGUACCGGGAGAAUAAGCUCCGGCUAACUCCGUG